Molecule: long non-coding RNA, 453 nt
Filed under: Ornithorhynchus anatinus (platypus)
Lineage: Eukaryota; Metazoa; Chordata; Mammalia; Monotremata; Ornithorhynchidae
Description: lncRNA (ENSOANG00000040629.1)
Source: RNAcentral
GGGGGGUAAGGAGACUCACUUUACCCCCCACCCCCUUUUAAGCCACCCACCACCAGCGGGCGACCCGAUUCUCCCAGCAGAGGGCAGCAUUUUCCCACACCAGCCACCUCGAAGAGCCGUUCCCACUUCGACGGUCGACGUUUCUCCUAAUCCAAAAGUAAAUGAGAAACUUAGAGAAAGAUUGCCAAUCCCAAAUCAACACACUUACAGAGAAUUGGAAAAGAAGAAGAUUUACGGCUUCAUUUGAGGACUUUUGUAAAGAACUCGGGUUCCAAUAUGAGCUCUAAAAUCUUGGAGCGAGAGCUGGCGGCAGUGCCAGAUCAAACAAGUUCAGGAGGACGACUGGAGGACUGGUUAAAAGAUCCGCCCCGCUGCCACCCGAAAGUAGAGAUUCCACAGGAAAAGCAAAAUCCUCAUCUGGCCCGAACGUGGAAAGCCGCUCCAGCCACGUGA